Long non-coding RNA from Episyrphus balteatus (marmalade hoverfly), 316 nucleotides. RefSeq lists it as uncharacterized. NCBI's taxonomy places the organism in Eukaryota, Metazoa, Arthropoda, Insecta, Diptera, Syrphidae. The transcript has 2 exons. The record is from RefSeq and is a predicted model, not a curated record.
AAUCAGACAUAAUUUCCAACUUUUCAAUUCCCUAUAUAGUUUAGUUAAAAAAAAAAAGAAAAAAUGGUGGCACAAGCUGCUAUAGCUCAAGCUCCCUUUUUUCUAAAUAGAGAGCGACAGCAGCGAGGUCGAAGCGAGAUGAAAAUAGAGAUAAAAGAAAGAGAAAGCGAAAACUGAAUUCAAUUCCGCUCUAUUAAGAAGGAUAUCCCAUAGGAGUUUUACAAGCAAGCAAAAAUAACAGAGAUAGCUAUUAUUCACAAUUCCAGCCAGGAUUCAACAUUUUCAACCCAGAAAUUACACACACAAAAUUUUUCAA